UUAAUUGAAGCCAAAAAGAGGCUUAUUACUGUUAAUAAUAAAAUUGGAAUUUAUAUUCCCAAUUAAA
This 67-nucleotide transfer RNA is filed under the name Tiniocellus spinipes. RNAcentral describes it as "tRNA-Asn". The record is from RNAcentral. Lineage: Eukaryota; Metazoa; Arthropoda; Insecta; Coleoptera; Scarabaeidae.